Molecule: ribosomal RNA, 251 nt
Filed under: uncultured prokaryote
Description: partial 16S rRNA
Rfam family: Bacterial small subunit ribosomal RNA
Source: RNAcentral
ACGUAGGGGGCGAGCGUUAUUCGGAAUUACUGGGUGUAAAGGGUAUGUAGGCGGCCCUUUAAGUCGGGAGUCAAAGUCAAGUGCUCAACGAUGGGAGUGCGCGCGAUACUGUAGAGCUAGAGUGCUGGAGAGGUAGGCGGAAUUUCCGGUGUAGUGGUAAAAUGCGUAGAGAUCGGGAGGAACACCAGCGGCGCAGGCGGCUCACUGGACAAUUUCUGACGCUAAGACGCGAAAGCGUGGGGAGCAAACAG